Molecule: small nucleolar RNA, 104 nt
Filed under: Nelumbo nucifera (sacred lotus)
Lineage: Eukaryota; Viridiplantae; Streptophyta; Magnoliopsida; Proteales; Nelumbonaceae
Description: Small nucleolar RNA Z107/R87
Rfam family: Small nucleolar RNA Z107/R87
About the family: Z107 and R87 are members of the C/D class of snoRNA which contain the C (UGAUGA) and D (CUGA) box motifs. Most of the members of the box C/D family function in directing site-specific 2'-O-methylation of substrate RNA
Source: Rfam by way of RNAcentral
CAUUACAGUGAUGACUCAAAAAAUUUCAAGCUCAACAGACCAGAAUGCAGGUUUCUCUCUUUUGGAAGAAGUUUGUAUUGACUACCCCACUGAACUAAGCGAUA